This 184-nucleotide microRNA precursor is filed under the name Oryza brachyantha (malo sina). Its description in RNAcentral is "MIR812 microRNA precursor family". It matches the Rfam family "MIR812 microRNA precursor family". The record is from Rfam by way of RNAcentral. Lineage: Eukaryota; Viridiplantae; Streptophyta; Magnoliopsida; Poales; Poaceae.
UUUUAGAUCAUUUUUCAGUUUUGUGAUAUAAUAUUUUGACUCAAUGUCUUAUUUAAAUUUUUUUUGCAAUUAAUAUGUUUAUUCUUACUCGCAUGAAUAGUACUUUAUGCAUGACUAAUUUUUUUAAGUUUUUAUACAAAUUUUUUAAAUAAGACGAAUGGUCAAACGUUGGACACGGAGAAAC